UAGGAGUGACUCUAUUGUAAAGGCCA
Molecule: non-coding RNA, 26 nt
Filed under: Mus musculus (house mouse)
Lineage: Eukaryota; Metazoa; Chordata; Mammalia; Rodentia; Muridae
Source: RNAcentral